GGGGAAUCUUGCGCAAUGGGCGAAAGCCUGACGCAGCCAUGCCGCGUGGAUGAUGAAGGUCUUAGGAUUGUAAAAUCCUUUCACCGGUGAAGAUAAUGACUGUAGCCGGAGAAGAAGCCCCGGCUAACUUCGUGCCAGCAGCCGCGGUAAUACGAAGGGGGCUAGCGUUGCUCGGAAUUACUGGGCGUAAAGGGAGCGUAGGCGGACAUUUAAGUCAGGGGUGAAAUCCCAGAGCUCAACUCUGGAACUGCCUUUGAUACUGGGUGUCUUGAGUGUGAGAGAGGUAUGUGGAACUCCGAGUGUAGAGGUGAAAUUCGUAGAUAUUCGGAAGAACACCAGUGGCGAAGGCGACAUACUGGCUCAUUACUGACGCUGAGGCUCGAAAGCGUGGGGAGCAAAC
Molecule: ribosomal RNA, 400 nt
Filed under: uncultured bacterium
Lineage: Bacteria
Description: bacterial SSU rRNA
Rfam family: Bacterial small subunit ribosomal RNA
Source: RNAcentral